Molecule: ribosomal RNA, 445 nt
Filed under: uncultured bacterium
Lineage: Bacteria
Description: partial 16S ribosomal RNA
Rfam family: Bacterial small subunit ribosomal RNA
Source: RNAcentral
GUAGGGAAUAUUGGACAAUGGGCGAAAGCCUGAUCCAGCCAUGCCGCGUGAUAGAUGAAGGCCCUCUGGGUUGUAAAUAUCUUUUAUCUGGGAAGAAACUCCUCUAUUCUUAGAGGCCUGACGGUACCAGAGGAAUAAGCACCGGCUAACUCCGUGCCAGCAGCCGCGGUAAUACGGAGGGUGCAAGCGUUAUCCGGAUUCACUGGGUUUAAAGGGUGCGUAGGCGGGUUGAUAAGUCAGUGGUGAAAGCUCCGGGCUUAACUUGGAAACUGCCAUUGAUACUGUCAGUCUUGAAUGUCGUAGAGGUAAGCGGAAUGUUGCAUGUAGCGGUGAAAUGCUUAGAUAUGUUACAGAACACCAAUUGCGAAGGCAGCUUACUAUGCGAUAAUUGACGCUGAGGCACGAAAGCGUGGGGAGCAAACAGGAUUAGAAACCCUUGUAGUCC